GGAGGAAAGUAGGGGAUCGCAAGACCUUGCACUAUUGGAUGAGCCCAAGUCGGAUUAGCUAGUUGGUGGGGUAACGGCCUACCAAGGCGACGAUCAGUAGCUGGUCUGAGAGGACGA
This 117-nucleotide ribosomal RNA is filed under the name uncultured ammonia-oxidizing bacterium. Its description in RNAcentral is "partial 16S ribosomal RNA". It matches the Rfam family "Bacterial small subunit ribosomal RNA", at positions 198 to 303 of the family's 1533-position model. The record is from RNAcentral.